GCCCAUGUGUGAGUGAACCUAAAACAGAAUCAUGAUCAGUCACUAAGUCAUUCAAGGCCAGAGCAAAAACAAACUCUUACAAAAAUACAAUGAAGCUCAAUUCACAAAUCCGUACCUCAAAAGCAUAAACAUGUUUUGGUACAAAGGCCAACUGAUGUUCACAUACAGCUCCUGCUAUAAGAAAAAUCAGUAAGAUAUUAGCAAACUUGAAAACUCAGAACCUCAAACUUAUGGUAGAGUUAAGUAGAGGCCUUCUCAGAAACAAGCCAUACACAAUACUACUCAAUAGAAUCAGAAUACCAAAACAAAUAGAGUUUCAUAGAAAUCCAAACCAAGAGAUAUAACAGUAGGAAAAUGAUAAGAAUAGGGAUAUAUAAUCCGACAUACAUCCAUCAAUACAACCGAAAACAAACUGCAGACAUACAUUGGCAAGAGACCUAACAUGUCCAAACUCAGCAUUCAAAGAAGCAGAAUGAUAGACAUAAAUAUACAAACCAAUGUCACUUGUAUCAAUAAGCAAUAACCAAACAAAUCCAGCGUAAUCAACUGAAAUAGCCAAAUAGGAACACAAAUACACAUCUAUGCCUACCAGAGAUAAAGAGAAUAACAUCAACAAAAGUUGUGUUCGGAUGGAGAGAGAGAGAGAGAUAGACUCACAGAAGUCAUGUUACCCCUCCCGUUCAGUCCUACCGAAGACGUCUCCCACCGCCGCCGUCCAUGAGAAUAAAGGGCUUCUCUGUCACAGGAAUAAUUCACCCAAUAAUGCAGAGAUUGAUUAAACCCUUAAUCGAUUUCAGUAUAAAGACAUCAAUUACCCGAAACAUAAGAGAAUUAGU
RNAcentral lists this long non-coding RNA (836 nucleotides) under Brassica napus (rape). Its description in RNAcentral is "long non-coding RNA (BNAP_LNC020334)". Lineage: Eukaryota; Viridiplantae; Streptophyta; Magnoliopsida; Brassicales; Brassicaceae. The record is from RNAcentral.